This 482-nucleotide ribosomal RNA is filed under the name uncultured bacterium. RNAcentral's name for it is "partial 16S ribosomal RNA". It matches the Rfam family "Bacterial small subunit ribosomal RNA", at positions 30 to 507 of the family's 1533-position model. The record is from RNAcentral.
AUUGAACGCUGGCGGCAUGCUUUACACAUGCAAGUCGAACGGUAACAGGCCGCAAGGUGCUGACGAGUGGCGAACGGGUGAGUAAUGCAUCGGAACGUGCACAGUCGUGGGGGAUAACUACUCGAAAGAGUAGCUAAUACCGCAUACGAUCUAUGGAUGAAAGCGGGGGACCGUAAGGCCUCGCGCGAUUGGAGCGGCCGAUGUCAGAUUAGGUAGUUGGUGGGGUAAAGGCUCACCAAGCCAACGAUCUGUAGCUGGUCUGAGAGGACGACCAGCCACACUGUGACUGAGACACGGCCCAGACUCCUACGGGAGGCAGCAGUGGGGAAUUUUGGACAAUGGGCGCAAGCCUGAUCCAGCAAUGCCGCGUGCAGGAAGAAGGCCUUCGGGUUGUAAACUGCUUUUGUACGGAACGAAACGGCUCUGGUUAAUACCCGGGGCUAAUGACGGUACCGUAAGAAUAAGCACCGGCUAACUACGUG